GAUUAAGCCAUGCAUGUGUAAGUAUAAAUAGUUAACUUUGAAACUGCGAAUGGCUCAUUAUAUCAGUUAUAGUUUAUUUGAUGAAGAAUACUAAUUGGAUAACCGUAGUAAUUCUAGAGCUAAUACAUGUAUAAAGUCUUGUAGACUGCAUUUAUUAGAAUGAAAACCAUAGGUUUCGGCCUAUUCGUGAGUAAUAAUAACUAAUCAUAUCGUAUGCUUAAGUAACGAUGUGUCUUUCAAGUUUCUGCCCUAUCAGCUUUCGAUGGUAGUGUAUUGGACUACCAUGGCAGUAACGGGUAACGAAGA
This 306-nucleotide ribosomal RNA is filed under the name Blastocystis sp. subtype 3. RNAcentral describes it as "bacterial SSU rRNA". It matches the Rfam family "Eukaryotic small subunit ribosomal RNA", at positions 42 to 368 of the family's 1831-position model. The record is from RNAcentral. Lineage: Eukaryota; Bigyra; Opalinata; Blastocystidae.